GUCGGUUUGAAGAACAGACAAAAUACAAAGUAGUUUACUAAAGCAGUUCUCAUUUCAGGUGUUGUAUAUUUAUCCCUUCUUUGAGUCUCUCCACUAAGCGCUAAGUAGUUUCUGUAAUAAAACCAUGUUCGCCGGAAGGCCAAAUUAAGGAAUAAAAAUGUCUAAUAAAAUGACUGGUUUAGUAAAAUGGUUUAAUGCUGAUAAGGGAUUCGGUUUUAUCUCUCCUGCUGAUGGUAGUAAAGAUGUGUUUGUACAUUUUUCUGCUAUCCAGAGCGAUAAUUUCCGCACCUUGUUCGAAGGUCAAAAAGUUUCAUUCUCCAUUGAGAAUGGUGCUAAGGGUCCGGUUGCUGGCAAUGUAGCGAUCACAGAGUAAAAUCCUUUUUGUCUGUAUGCGAUAACGAUG
Molecule: small RNA, 403 nt
Filed under: Citrobacter freundii
Lineage: Bacteria; Pseudomonadati; Pseudomonadota; Gammaproteobacteria; Enterobacterales; Enterobacteriaceae
Description: cspA
Rfam family: cspA thermoregulator
Source: RNAcentral